This 301-nucleotide ribosomal RNA is filed under the name uncultured bacterium. RNAcentral's name for it is "partial 16S ribosomal RNA". It matches the Rfam family "Bacterial small subunit ribosomal RNA", at positions 509 to 807 of the family's 1533-position model. The record is from RNAcentral.
CAGUCGCCGCGGUAAUACGGAGGAUCCAAGCGUUAUCCGGAAUCAUUGGGUUUAAAGGGUCCGUAGGCGGUCUUGUAAGUCAGUGGUGAAAGCCCAUCGCUCAACGGUGGAACGGCCAUUGAUACUGCAGGACUUGAAUUAUUGGGAAGUAACUAGAAUAUGUAGUGUAGCGGUGAAAUGCUUAGAGAUUACAUGGAAUACCAAUUGCGAAGGCAGGUUACUACCAAUUGAUUGACGCUGAUGGACGAAAGCGUGGGUAGCGAACAGGAUUAGAUACCCCAGUAGUCCCUGUCUCUUAUAC